UACGGAGGGUGUAAGCGUUGUCCGGAUUUAUUGGGUUUAAAGGGUGCGUAGGCGGGAAAUUAAGUCAGGGGUGAAAGACUGCAGCUCAACUGUAGCAGUGCCUUUGAUACUGAUUUUCUUGAGUACAGAUGAGGCCGGCGGAAUGGGUGGUGUAGCGGUGAAAUGCAUAGAUACCAUCCAGAACACCGAUUGCGAAGGCAGCCGGCUAAACUGUCACUGACGCUGAGGCACGAAAGCGUGGGGAUCGAACAGG
This 253-nucleotide ribosomal RNA is filed under the name uncultured bacterium. RNAcentral describes it as "partial 16S ribosomal RNA". It matches the Rfam family "Bacterial small subunit ribosomal RNA", at positions 524 to 776 of the family's 1533-position model. The record is from RNAcentral.